This 461-nucleotide ribosomal RNA is filed under the name uncultured beta proteobacterium. RNAcentral's name for it is "bacterial SSU rRNA". It matches the Rfam family "Bacterial small subunit ribosomal RNA", at positions 190 to 642 of the family's 1533-position model. The record is from RNAcentral. Lineage: Bacteria; Pseudomonadati; Pseudomonadota; Betaproteobacteria.
AGGAAAGUAGGGGAUCGCAAGACCUUGCGCUUUUGGAGCGGCCGAUGUCUGACUAGCUAGUUGGUGAGGUAAAGGCUUACCAAGGCUUCGAUCAGUAGCUGGUCUGAGAGGACGACCAGCCACACUGGGACUGAGACACGGCCCAGACUCCUACGGGAGGCAGCAGUGGGGAAUUUUGGACAAUGGGGGAAACCCUGAUCCAGCCAUGCCGCGUGAGUGAAGAAGGCCUUCGGGUUGUAAAGCUCUUUCAGCCGGAACGAAAAGGUUACGGUUAAUACCCGUGACUAAUGACGGUACCGGAAGAAGAAGCACCGGCUAACUACGUGCCAGCAGCCGCGGUAAUACGUAGGGUGCGAGCGUUAAUCGGAAUUACUGGGCGUAAAGCGUGCGCAGGCGGUUUUGUAAGUCAGAUGUGAAAUCCCCGGGCUCAACCUGGGAACUGCGUUUGAAACUACAAGGCU